AGGAUCCCCAAGGCAGAAAGGAGGCUCUGCCCAGCCCAGGUGCUGCCUCUUUUCCCUGGCAGCCUCAGCGCCACCCCCAUCCCCUGGCUGCUGUGAGGGAGAGUUUUUCUAAUGGAUCAUAGCUGGUUCGUUCAUUCCAUCUCACUGCGUGCCAGGCCGCUGCUGCUGGGAAGCCAAGCCGUCACUGAAGAUGCAGGCUGAGGGCCUCACAUCCAGGGCUGUCUGGGGGCAGCUGGGCGCUGGCAGACUGGUUUAUUCAGGAAUAAAAUGCUGGAGAAGCUGUGGUGAAACUGAAGGCCCCAUGCAGUGAUGGGACUUGGCCAGGGUCCUAUUGCAAUUUCCCUGCCUGGCCUUCAUGAGAUCUGCUCACCGCCUGCUCAGUGUCCUCUCUGGGAAGUUAUGCAGCUGGAAGGAGGCCUCUGGGAUAAAAUAAUUACAGAGAAAACAGAUGGGCGGCUGAGCAAUCCUCCCCUCCUCAGUGUGCCUGAGAAUCCUUCUGUCUGGCCCCAGGGCCAGAAGGGGGUGCUGUUCCAAAGGGAGCUGGUUACCACCUUCUGGGAAAGGGGCGCUGGACAAUCCUGCCUUAGCCAUCCCUUCUGCAUCCUCUCGGGAGCCUUUUUGUGCACCAUUUUCACCAGAGGUAUCGUCAUCAAGGCUCACUCUCGUCUCCCAUAGGGUCCUGCUAAAGAACCGAACAUCGACUGUCCCAAGGAAGGGCCUGUCCGUGGUAGAUGCAAGAGCCUUACCUUGCCCUUGGUGGAGGAGGAGAAAAAGGGAAGAGGGACUCACAAGAAUGAAAUCUUUUCCCUCCAUGUUCCCACCUUUCAGAAGUCCAGGAGGGAGAAGAGGGUCCCAGCUAUGCAAUUCUCUGAUGCCUAGGCCUUGGCACACUUCAGCCUGACUCUGACUUUCCCCAUGCCCUGCUCCCUCUCUGUGUCCCCACAACUGACCACUCUCCCUCAGCCUCCUCUUUUAUGACCCCCCAGGCUUGCUUGCGCUCCGUACCCCCAAGAGCUCAGGAGGCUCCCACUUUUGGAAGGCAAGCCCCUCCCCAACUUUAUCACACCUCCUGCCUCCAGAACUGUCCACCACAGACUUGCCUGUCUCUCAAGCCUGCCUCCUCUGGCUACCGCUACCUGAAUGCUGCCCCACCCCCUUUUUUCCUUAGGUCUAAGCAGGCUGGGUUCUGCAACAUCAGGCCCUCCCGGCUUCCCUCAGUUUCACUGGGUUGCCCUUUAGUGAGAGCAAUCUCUCAUUUGAUUGUUUUUCUUUCAUUGCAUCCCUCUCAGCCUGAGUGCAUUCCCCCUUAGCCCAAUGGGAAGCUGCUGUUUUCCAUCUAGAUUUCCCUUCUCUCCUUCUGCUGGGUCUCCUUUCCUGGCUCCGCACAGGCUUUUCCUUCUCCAGGAAGCUCGCCCUCUAGCCCGGGCUGCGGGAGCUGCCCUCCCUCCCUGCCAUGUCCUUUCCAGCCUACAGAGCUGGUGUCUGUUUCCUGGGGGUCCUUCCUAGCCCGGUUGGAGCUUUGCAGGCUGCAGGGAUGCUCAGUGGAUCCUUGGGGAAUCAGUGGGUGGAAAAGUGGCAAAUGACAGGAUCCCCUGCGGAAUUGCCAGGCCUGUUCUCUUUCCUCUACCAUCAGGGCUUUUCACACUGAGCAUUUAAUAAAGUGCCACGAACAGCUCAUGUUCAGCUGCUCAGUGGGUCCAACUUUCCCAGGCCUGGCUCCUGGGACCAGAGCAGAAGAAGUAGACCUCAUGAAGAAAAAGCAGGAAGGACCUGAGUGCCCGGUCUGGGCCCAGGAGGAACACAGAGUCUCCUCUGCAGCUUCCUGUGCAAUGAAACCAAGGGGGAAGAGCAGGGGUCUGUGUGUGUGUGUGUGUGUGUGUGUGUGUGUGUGUGUGUGUGUGAAAUCUUCUGUUGCAAAGACAGUUAUGUGCCGACCACCUCCCUCCCUGAAUGUCCCUCUAGCCCAGGCCUAGAACGUUGUCUCACCCCACCUCCCAGGCUCAGCAGGAGCGGCUGUAUAGCCUGCCGCAGGGAAGCCUUGCUCCACAGUUCACUUUGAUUUAUUCUCAAAGACAGGGAGUCCUAGAUCGUUGCCCGCUGUCACCAAGUACAUCCGAAAGACAAAGACAGGAAGAACCAGCCUACAGAAGGAGGUGACUAUGGAGCACUGGAAGCUUCCAACCUGUCCUUAAUAAGGGAUUUCAGAGGCUGUAGCCAUUGCCCCCAGAAACCAGCCCAGUGCCUGGCUCUAGAGUCAGUCUGCCAGACAUAGCCGGCAUAAA
Long non-coding RNA from Myotis daubentonii (Daubenton's bat), 2282 nucleotides. RefSeq lists it as uncharacterized. The record is from RefSeq and is a predicted model, not a curated record. Lineage: Eukaryota; Metazoa; Chordata; Mammalia; Chiroptera; Vespertilionidae.